RNAcentral lists this ribosomal RNA (231 nucleotides) under uncultured bacterium. RNAcentral describes it as "partial 16S ribosomal RNA". It matches the Rfam family "Bacterial small subunit ribosomal RNA", at positions 99 to 334 of the family's 1533-position model. The record is from RNAcentral.
CGGACGGGUGAGUAAUGUCUGGGAAACUGCCUGAUGGAGGGGGAUAACUACUGGAAACGGUAGCUAAUACCGCAUAACGUCGCAAGACCAAAGAGGGGGACCUUCGGGCCUCUUGCCAUCGGAUGUGCCCAGAUGGGAUUAGCUAGUAGGUGGGGUAAAGGCUCACCUAGGCGACGAUCCCUGCUGGUCUGAGAGGAUGACCAGCCACACUGGAACUGAGACACGGUCCAG